GGUGACGUGUCCGAGCGGCCGAAGGUGCAACACUCGAAAUGUUGUGUACGUGAAAGCGUACCGUGGGUUCAAAUCCCACCGUCACCGCCA
This 90-nucleotide transfer RNA is filed under the name Rhodoluna sp. RNAcentral's name for it is "tRNA-Ser". It matches the Rfam family "tRNA". Rfam says of the family: Transfer RNA (tRNA) molecules are approximately 80 nucleotides in length. Their secondary structure includes four short double-helical elements and three loops (D, anti-codon, and T loops). RNAcentral also lists the same sequence under 2 other names. Lineage: Bacteria; Bacillati; Actinomycetota; Actinomycetes; Micrococcales; Microbacteriaceae. The record is from RNAcentral.